RNAcentral lists this ribosomal RNA (484 nucleotides) under uncultured bacterium. RNAcentral's name for it is "partial 16S ribosomal RNA". It matches the Rfam family "Bacterial small subunit ribosomal RNA", at positions 30 to 507 of the family's 1533-position model. The record is from RNAcentral.
AUUGAACGCUGGCGGCAGGCCUAACACAUGCAAGUCGAGCGGAUGAAGGGAGCUUGCUCCUGGAUUCAGCGGCGGACGGGUGAGUAAUGCCUAGGAAUCUGCCUGGUAGUGGGGGAUAACGUCCGGAAACGGGCGCUAAUACCGCAUACGUCCUGAGGGAGAAAGUGGGGGAUCUUCGGAUCUCACGCUAUCAGAUGAGCCUAGGUCGGAUUAGAUAGUUGGUGGGGUAAAGGCCUACCAAGGCGACGAUCCGUAACUGGUCUGAGAGGAUGAUCAGUCACACUGGAACUGAGACACGGUCCAGACUCCGACGGGAGGCAGCAGUGGGGAAUAUUGGACGAUGGGCGAAAGCCUGAUCCAGCCAUGCCGCGUGUGUGAAGAAGGUCUUCGGAUUGUAAAGCACUUUAAGUUGGGAGGAAGUGCAGUAAGUUAAUACCUUGCUGUUUUGACGUUACCAACAGAAUAAGCACCGGCUAACUUCGUG